CUGGCAUCUAGACGAAGAAGAAAGAAUGGACACUGGCAAUAUUUGUGGAGAUUCGGGCUUACAAUUUCCCCAAACUGAUGAAAACACCAAUCUUCAGAUGAGACCCACAGGAAUUUGCAAAGGAUUUUUCCAGAAAAAAGGGAAAUAAUCACUGGAGAAGAUCAAGGGGAUCUUCAAAAAGAAUAAAGAGAAAAGAAAGUCGCAAACAUGUAAGUAAAUCUCAAUAAAUAUUGACUCAUCAAAAAUAUAUCUGUAGAUUGGGAAUAAUGAAAAUGUAGUCAAAUGUUUUAAGCUCCUUGUACUAACCAGGAGAAGAGUAAAGUUAUCAAUUAAUAUUAGACAUUGAUAAGCCAAGGAUACAUUUUUAAUUUCUGAGAUGAACACUAAAGAUAGGAAAAGAGCAAAACAAAGUAAUGAUUAAGAAAAUCAGUUCCAAGUCAAGAUGUAUGAAAGUUGUGAGUCCACAGAACAAAUAGAUAACUUGCCUGGCCAAAGGUUCUCUACGAAGCAUCUGAGGCCACCAUGGUCUCCAGCUAUCAGAAUUGAUACCAAAUAAAUUUGCUGGGGAAAGCAAGCAUUCAAAGACUCUCUUUACAUUUUUAAAUACAUAGGUUCUAUGAGGAUAUGUAGAAUGUCCCAAUUUAUUCAUGGACCAUUUCAACAAACUUAUUAUGGUAAGCAUAUUACAUUCAAGAUCGGCAUUUCUUAUACCCUGAAAAUGAAAAGCAGAUAUAGGGACUCCUUAGGAGACCCUGGCAAUUCCCCUCCUGAUUUUAAUUCCUCAGAAAGUAAAGAUGGAAAAUGUGAGCUGGCAGCAGCAGGAAAUUAAGUUCUUUUGGAAGAGAUGGAAGAUUUAAUGACAAAGAGUUACAUGAAGAAGCAACACAGAGAAAGUCUGGUGGCAGAAUUCUUCACCAAAUUGCUUUGCCACACUCAUAGGAGAAUCAAGAAAGUUAAAGAUAGUUAGCAAAUGAAAUUAAGAAUUCAGACUGAUUUGUGCAUCUAACAACAGGCUUGUGACAUCCCAAAGGAGCAGCUUCCUAUGCAGAACGACUCGUGAGGAACAGCCUCAGAUUCUUUCUAGUCUGCAAUAUUUAUUCUGGGUUUUUCUUUGUGAUCACAACCAAAGAUUUCAAUUAAUCUUUUACCACCAAUUUAUGUUGAUCACAUGACUACUUGCUUUUGUCAUCAAAAUCUCCUUGAACUUUGUUAUGUCGGUCUUUUGUCUUAUGUCAAUAUUCUACAGUUUCAGCUCUGUUUCCACUGUAUGUGAGAUGGCCUUUAAAAUUUCACUGCCUAAAAAUGACUGGAUAAUGAUAAAAUGCUCAUCCUUUUCA
Molecule: long non-coding RNA, 1337 nt
Organism: Herpailurus yagouaroundi (jaguarundi)
Lineage: Eukaryota; Metazoa; Chordata; Mammalia; Carnivora; Felidae
Exons: 2
Source: RefSeq, a predicted model, not a curated record